GUGCCAUUCUCAUUAGUUUAUUCAUAUCUUGUUCGUCAUCCUUUGCGUUUGAUCUAAACUGUGAAAUUCAUCCUUACCAAGCAAGGUCAAGUCAACCUCGACGGCUAUGAAGGCAUGGCAUGCACCUCACCUAAGGACAAGGACUGCAUCUUUAUAAAUCAAGUAAGAAGUGCACGGGCUUUUACACCACAAAAUUGGCAUCUCGAGAGGUUCUGGACUUCAUCCGGGGAAGAAAAGUCUCUGAUACACUGCUAAAGAAGUUGGAGACGUCUUGUCUUGCCCUUAACGCAGUGCCCAAUGAUGCAGAGGAAAAAGAAAUCACUAACCCAGCUGUGAAAAAGUGGCUUGAUGAGCUCAAAGAUGAUGUCUAUGAUGCAGAGGACCUUUUGGAUGAGAUUGCUACUAAAGUUUUGCAGUGCCAGUUGGAAGCUAAGAGUAAGUUCUUACAGGUCAUUCAGCACAUGGACAGCUGCUCUUGGAUUUGCUCAAUGAGGUUGCUGCCAUACGAGCUGAGCUUGCUGCCACUAGAGGUGCCUCUCCACCAGCUCCACCGUUGGAUCAGCCAUGAUUGCCCUUUGGCAAUACGUUACAAAAAGGGGGAGUGCAUAGUGAUAGGGGGAGAUAACUUUUUUUUGGUAUGGGGAGUUCUUUUAUGGAGAUGUAUUUUUUUUUUUUGGAUGUAUGUAUUUUAUUUCUUUUAUUUUAGUUCUUGUUUCACAAACUUUGA
Molecule: RNA transcript, 727 nt
Organism: Quercus robur (English oak)
Lineage: Eukaryota; Viridiplantae; Streptophyta; Magnoliopsida; Fagales; Fagaceae
Exons: 3
Source: RefSeq, a predicted model, not a curated record